Molecule: long non-coding RNA, 853 nt
Filed under: Homo sapiens (human)
Lineage: Eukaryota; Metazoa; Chordata; Mammalia; Primates; Hominidae
Description: non-protein coding lnc-BTG3-5:1
Source: RNAcentral
CUUGGUUUCUACAACCCCUUAUUGUAACCAGACCUUCCUUUCUAUUGAUAAUAACUCUUUCAACAAAUUGCCAAUCAGAAAAUCUUUAAAGCUACAUAUAACCUGGAAGGUCUCCUGCUUUGAGUUGUCCCACCUUUCUGGACCAAACCAAUAUACAUCUUACAUGUAUUCAUUGAUGUCUCAUGUCUCCCAAAAAUGUAUAAAACCAAGCUGUACUCCGACCACCUCGGGUCAUGUCUCUCGCUAUGAGAGUGUUGGGGCUCAGAAAGCGAUACCCCAAAGACUGGUGCUUUGAAAUGUUGAGAGGACUUAGAAGCUGCCUCAGAAUCAAGGAGGCUGAGGCAGGAGAAUGGCGUGAACCCCGGGAGGGGGAGCUUGCAGUGAGCCGAGAUUGCGCCACUGCACUCCAGCCUGGGCGACACAGCGUGGGUGUGGUGGCACAUGCCUGUAGUCCCAGCUACCUAGGAGGCUGAGACAGGAGAAUCACUUGAACCCAGGACACAGAGACCGUAGUGAGCUGAGAUCACACCACUGCACUCCAUCCUGGGCAACAGAGCAAGACUCCAUCUCAAAAAAAAAGAAAGAAAGAAAGAAGAAAGAAAGAAAGAAGAAAGAAAGAAAGAAAGAAAAGAAAGAAAGAAAGAAAGAAAGAAAAGAAAGAAAGAAAGAAAGAAGGAAUAACUGCAUAACCACUAAUGAAAGACAAAGGAAAUACCGUUGACAAACAAUAGAGAUACAUAUUCCCCCAGAGCACCAACUAGAUAAAUGUAUUAAAUUCCUAGUGACUCAAAUUACUAUGAUAAUAUCUCAGCACUGUUUGAAAGGGUCCACUGAAUUCCAAUUAUAUAAAUAU